This 70-nucleotide small nuclear RNA is filed under the name Eurypyga helias (sunbittern). Its description in RNAcentral is "U5 spliceosomal RNA". It matches the Rfam family "U5 spliceosomal RNA", at positions 7 to 74 of the family's 117-position model. From Rfam's summary of the family: U5 RNA is a component of both types of known spliceosome. The precise function of this molecule is unknown, though it is known that the 5' loop is required for splice site selection and p220 binding, and that both the 3' stem-loop and the Sm site are important for Sm protein binding and cap methylation. The record is from Rfam by way of RNAcentral. Lineage: Eukaryota; Metazoa; Chordata; Aves; Eurypygiformes; Eurypygidae.
UGGCUUCUCGUCAGAUCAUAUAAAUCUUUUGCCUUUUACUAAAGAUUUCUGUGGAAAGAGGAGCAUUUUU